AGGGGCAGAGCCUGGCUCCACCUCUACUAUACCUUAUUUAAGGGCUGACUGCCCCUGAGGAAGGAAACUCUCUCUGAAGAUUGUUCUUCUUGGAGUCUUUCUUUGUGAGCCUGGGGCACAGGGAUCAACCUUCCUGCUCACAGGCUUCCAUGGCCAUGCAGAAAUUUUUUUUAAACUCCUCUUCGAGUUCCAUGUGGCAAGAAACAGCCGUUUCUGUUCUAAACUCUGCUCCACAUGCUCUCAGGUCAAUCAUGUCACUCUGAUGGAGUAAAGGUCUAAAGUAGGUCAUUGGAUAUUCACACAGUACUUCAUCAGAGCCAUCUUCCAAGGACAGGCUAUAGCACUGAAGAAAUGAGUGUGAGUCAAGAUUGCUAGUUCUUUGUCAAACUCAAGCUAUCCUGGAAUAAUCAAAUAUCCAACAUCUACAUAGAGAGCUUGGCCUGCUGAUGAGAAUUCCUUUUUGGAGUAGGAAUGA
Molecule: long non-coding RNA, 475 nt
Organism: Centrocercus urophasianus (Greater sage-grouse)
Lineage: Eukaryota; Metazoa; Chordata; Aves; Galliformes; Phasianidae
Exons: 4
Source: RefSeq, a predicted model, not a curated record